RNAcentral lists this ribosomal RNA (261 nucleotides) under uncultured bacterium. RNAcentral describes it as "partial 16S ribosomal RNA". It matches the Rfam family "Bacterial small subunit ribosomal RNA", at positions 524 to 776 of the family's 1533-position model. The record is from RNAcentral.
UACGAAGGAGGCUAGCGUUGCUCGGAAUCACUGGGCGUAAAGCGCACGUAGGCGGACAUUUUAAGUCGGGGGGUGAAAUCCCAAGAGCUCAACUCUGGAACUGCCUUUGAUACUGGAUGUCUUGAGUGUGAGAGAGGUAUGUGGAACUCCGAGUGUAGAGGUGAAAAUUCGUAGAUAGUUCGGAAAGAACACCAGUGGCGGAAGGCGAACAUACUGGCUCAUUACUGACGCUGAGGCUCGAAAGCGUGGGGAGCAAACAGG